RNAcentral lists this ribosomal RNA (498 nucleotides) under uncultured archaeon. RNAcentral describes it as "bacterial SSU rRNA". It matches the Rfam family "Bacterial small subunit ribosomal RNA", at positions 899 to 1397 of the family's 1533-position model. The record is from RNAcentral.
ACUCAAAGGAAUAGACGGGGGCCCGCACAAGCGGAGGAACAUGUGGUUUAAUUCGAUGAUACGCGAGGAACCUUACCCGGGCUCGAACGGCAGACGACGUAUACAGAGACGUAUAUUCUCUUCGGAGCGUCUGUCGAGGUGCUGCAUGGUUGUCGUCAGCUCGUGCCGUGAGGUGUCGGCUUAAGUGCCAUAACGAGCGCAACCCUUGUCGAUAGUUGCCAUCGGGUCGUGCCGGGGACUCUAUCGAGACUGCCUCCGUAAGGUGUGAGGAAGGGGGGGAUGACGUCAAAUCAGCACGGCCCUUACGUCCGGGGCGACACACGUGUUACAAUGGUGGUUACAGAGGGCUGCUCCCUGGUGACAGGUUGCCAAUCUCCAAAAGCCAUCUCAGUUCGGAUCGGAGUCUGCAACUCGACUCCGUGAAGUUGGAUUCGCUAGUAAUCGCACAUCAGCCACGGUGCGGUGAAUACGUUCCCGGGCCUUGUACACACCGCCCGU